CCUACGGGAGGCAGCAGUGGGGAAUAUUGGACAAUGGGCGCAAGCCUGAUCCAGCCAUGCCGCGUGUGUGAAGAAGGCCUUCGGGUUGUAAAGCACUUUCAGCGAGGAGGAAGGGAUGUAUGUUAAUAGCAUGCAUUUUUGACGUUACUCGCAGAAGAAGCACCGGCUAACUCUGUGCCAGCAGCCGCGGUAAUACAGAGGGUGCAAGCGUUAAUCGGAAUUACUGGGCGUAAAGCGCACGUAGGCGGUUUUUAAGUCAGAUGUGAAAGCCCCGGGCUCAACCUGGGAAUUGCAUUUGAAACUGGGGAACUAGAGUGUGUGAGAGGGGGGUAGAAUUCCAAGUGUAGCGGUGAAAUGCGUAGAGAUUUGGAGGAAUACCAGUGGCGAAGGCGGCCCCCUGGCACAACACUGACGCUCAGGUGCGAAAGCGUGGGGAGCAAACAGGAUUAGAUACCCUGGUAGUCCACGCCGUAAACGAUGUCUACUAGCUGUUCGUGUCCUUGUGAUGUGAGUAGCGCAGCUAAACGCACUAAAGUAAGACCGCCUUGGGGGAGUACGGUUCGCAAGAUUAAAACCNCAAAAGGGAAUUGACGGCNGAGAGNGCGACGGACGACGACGAGGGAGGAGGAG
Molecule: ribosomal RNA, 630 nt
Filed under: uncultured bacterium
Lineage: Bacteria
Description: bacterial SSU rRNA
Rfam family: Bacterial small subunit ribosomal RNA
Source: RNAcentral